This 274-nucleotide ribosomal RNA is filed under the name uncultured bacterium. RNAcentral's name for it is "partial 16S ribosomal RNA". It matches the Rfam family "Bacterial small subunit ribosomal RNA", at positions 523 to 796 of the family's 1533-position model. The record is from RNAcentral.
CUACGGAGGGUGCAAGCGUUAUUCGGAAUCACUGGGCGUAAAGGACGCGUAGGCGGGUUGGCAAGUCAGAUGUGAAAUCCUACAGCUUAACUGAAGAACUGCAUUUGAAACUGCUAACCUAGAGUAUGGGAGGGGGAGAUGGAAUUAGUGGUGUAGGGGUAAAAUCCGUAGAUAUCACUAGGAAUACCGAAAGCGAAGGCGAUCUCCUGGAACAUAACUGACGCUAAGGCGUGAAAGCGUGGGGAGCAAACAGGAUUAGAUACCCUAGUAGUCC